This 253-nucleotide ribosomal RNA is filed under the name Faecalibacterium prausnitzii. Its description in RNAcentral is "partial 16S ribosomal RNA". It matches the Rfam family "Bacterial small subunit ribosomal RNA", at positions 524 to 776 of the family's 1533-position model. The record is from RNAcentral. Lineage: Bacteria; Bacillati; Bacillota; Clostridia; Eubacteriales; Oscillospiraceae.
AACGUAGGUCACAAGCGUUGUCCGGAAUUACUGGGUGCAAAGGGAGCGCAGGCGGGAAGACAAGUUGGAAGUGAAAUCCAUGGGCUCAACCCAUGAACUGCUUUCAAAACUGUUUUUCUUGAGUAGUGCAGAGGUAGGCGGAAUUCCCGGUGUAGCGGUGGAAUGCGUAGAUAUCGGGAGGAACACCAGUGGCGAAGGCGGCCUACUGGGCACCAACUGACGCUGAGGCUCGAAAGUGUGGGUAGCAAACAGG